UUCAUUUCCUGCAGGGUGGAGAAAGAAAUGGAAAAUUGGUAUGGCUGAUAUUACGAAUGCAUUCUGAGUUUUCAUUAAGGCAUUAUCUUUAAUUACUUGGGAAAUUCAAAAGGUACUGUUAACAAUUACUUGUACAUUAUUACCAGGGUAAGAAUAUUUGCAAAAUAUUAUUUCUUUCAGAAACUUAUACUGCCUUAUCUACUGCAUACUGCAAAGACGUGGCCAGCAACAUUUCUGCCAAUGCAAGACUUUGGGAAAAAUGUCUGCAGAAUGGCGUAUAGCAAACAUUUAUUUAAGAUCUGCAUGAAUCUCCCAUGA
RNAcentral lists this long non-coding RNA (318 nucleotides) under Coturnix japonica (Japanese quail). Its description in RNAcentral is "lncRNA (ENSCJPG00005015982.1)". Lineage: Eukaryota; Metazoa; Chordata; Aves; Galliformes; Phasianidae. The record is from RNAcentral.